AACGCACAUUGCGCCCUCUGGUAUUCCGGAGGGCAUGCCUGUUCGAGCGUCAUUACACCACUCAAGCACCGCUUGGUAUUGGGCGCCGCGGUUUUCCCGCGCGCCCCAAUCUCACCGGCCGAGCACCCUCGACUCUGAGCGCAGAAGCAAAACACUUUCGCUCGGGGGCUCUUGGGGGGACCCGUGCCGCUAAACACCAACACACCAAAAGGUUGACCUCGGAUCAGGUAGGGAUACCCGCUGAACUUAA
This 250-nucleotide unclassified non-coding RNA is filed under the name Scutellinia sp. RNAcentral's name for it is "partial contains 5.8S ribosomal RNA, internal transcribed spacer 2, and large subunit ribosomal RNA". The stretch from base 1 to 52 matches the Rfam family "5.8S ribosomal RNA", at positions 103 to 154 of the family's 154-position model. The record is from RNAcentral. Lineage: Eukaryota; Fungi; Ascomycota; Pezizomycetes; Pezizales; Pyronemataceae.